AUCUAAAUAGCUUAUUUAAGAGCGUGAUAUUGAAGAUAUCAAGGAGAUUUUUUAAUUUUUAGAUA
This 65-nucleotide transfer RNA is filed under the name Scirtidae sp. GENSP01. RNAcentral's name for it is "tRNA-Phe". Lineage: Eukaryota; Metazoa; Arthropoda; Insecta; Coleoptera; Scirtidae. The record is from RNAcentral.